This 505-nucleotide ribosomal RNA is filed under the name uncultured bacterium. RNAcentral describes it as "bacterial SSU rRNA". It matches the Rfam family "Bacterial small subunit ribosomal RNA", at positions 8 to 507 of the family's 1533-position model. The record is from RNAcentral.
AGAGUUUGAUCAUGGCUACAGGAUUAACGCUUGGCGGUAUGCCUAACACAUGCAAGUCGAACGGAAUACUAAUUAAGAGAAUCUCACACUAGUGAGAGGUUCUCACGAGUAGUAUUUAGUGGCGGACGGGUGAGUAACACGUUGGAACCUGCCCCGAAGUGGGGAAUAACUGCUCGAAAGAGUAGCUAAUACCCCAUAGUAUCCCGGUUUAAUCCGGGAUUAAAGAUUUAUCGCUUCGGGAGGGGCCUGCGUCUGAUUAGCUAGUUGGUGAGGUAAAAGCUCACCAAGGCGACGAUCAGUAGCUGGUUCGAGAGGAUGACCAGCCACACUGGGACUGAGAUACGGCCCAGACUCCCACGGGAGGCAGCAGUGAGGAAUCUUCCACAAUGGGCGCAAGCCUGAUGGAGCAAUACCGCGUGCAGGAAGACGCUUUUCGGAGUGUAAACUGCUUUUGUCGUCGAAGAUUAUGACUGUAGACGAAGAAUAAGGACCGGCUAACUACGUG